GGGCCCGCACAAGCGGUGGAGCAUGUGGUUUAAUUCGAUGAUACGCGAGGAACCUUACCAGGGCUUAAAUGUAGUGGGACAGGUCUAGAGAUAGACCCUUCUUCGGACUCAUUACAAGGUGCUGCAUGGUUGUCGUCAGCUCGUGCCGUGAGGUGUCAGGUUAAGUCCUAUAACGAGCGCAACCCCUAUCGUUAGUUGCCAGCGGGUAAUGCCGGGAACUCUAGCGAAACUGCCGGUGCAAACCGUGAGGAAGGUGGGGAUGACGUCAAAUCAUCACGGCCCUUACGUCCUGGCUACACACGUGGCUACAAUGGGGAAUACAGACGGACGCUAAGCCGCGAGGUGGUG
This 348-nucleotide ribosomal RNA is filed under the name uncultured bacterium. RNAcentral describes it as "bacterial SSU rRNA". It matches the Rfam family "Bacterial small subunit ribosomal RNA", at positions 917 to 1267 of the family's 1533-position model. The record is from RNAcentral.